GAACCUCAAGGGGAAGCUCAACGGGAUCGCGCUCCGGGUGCCGACGCCGAACGUGUCCGUGGUCGACCUCGUGGUGCAGGUGUCCAAGAAGACCCUCGCCGAGGAGGUGAACCAGGCGUUCCGCGACAGCGCCGCCAACGAGCUCAAGGGCAUCCUCGAGGUCUGCGACGUGCCGCUCGUGUCCGUCGACUUCAGGUGCUCCGACGUGUCGUGCACCAUCGACGCGUCGCUCAGCAUGGUCAUGGGCGACGACAUGGUGAAGGUCAUCGCCUGGUACGACAACGAGUGGGGAUACUCGCAGAGGGUCGUCGACCUCGCCGACAUCGUCGCCAACCAGUGGAAGUGAGAACGUAGAAGCUGCUGCUGCUGCUGCCUUUGUAACUCCACCUCGCUCCAAAAAUUUUCCCCAGACUUCUUCCUUCUUCCUCUCGAUCCUUUGUAAUGAGAAUUUCGAAGUUUCGAGCGCCCAACACAGUUUCUUGUUUCUUUCUUUGCUUUUCUUCCCCAC
This 508-nucleotide unclassified non-coding RNA is filed under the name Hevea brasiliensis (rubber tree). The record is from RNAcentral. Lineage: Eukaryota; Viridiplantae; Streptophyta; Magnoliopsida; Malpighiales; Euphorbiaceae.